This 245-nucleotide ribosomal RNA is filed under the name uncultured bacterium. RNAcentral's name for it is "partial 16S ribosomal RNA". It matches the Rfam family "Bacterial small subunit ribosomal RNA", at positions 524 to 767 of the family's 1533-position model. The record is from RNAcentral.
UACGUAGGUGGCAAACGUUAUCCGGAAUUACUGGGUGUAAAGCGUUCGUAGGCUUUUACAGUAGGUCCCUGAUUAAAUCCAGGAGCUCAACUCCUGAUCGGUUAGGGAAACCACUUGAAUAGAAGGGUAUCGAGGUAAGUGGAAUUUGUGGUGUAGCAGUGAAAUGCGUUGAUAUCACAAGGAACACCAAUGGCGAAGGCAGCUUACUAGAUACUACUUGACGCUGAGGAACGAAAGCGUGGGUA